This 254-nucleotide long non-coding RNA is filed under the name Arabidopsis thaliana (thale cress). RNAcentral's name for it is "long non-coding RNA (ATHA_LNC000250)". Lineage: Eukaryota; Viridiplantae; Streptophyta; Magnoliopsida; Brassicales; Brassicaceae. The record is from RNAcentral.
ACCACAUUCACCUCCCCCACCGAUUUAUCCAUAUCUGUCUCCACCGCCCCCACCAACACCAGUUUCUUCUCCACCACCCACUCCGGUCUAUUCCCCUCCUCCCCCACCUCCUUGUAUAGAACCACCACCACCUCCACCGUGUAUAGAGUAUUCACCUCCUCCUCCUCCACCAGUCGUUCAUUAUAGCUCUCCGCCUCCACCGCCAGUCUACUACAGCUCUCCGCCACCUCCACCAGUCUAUUACAGCUCUCCAC